CUCUCAUGGGUUGGGGGCUAUUACCCCUGCAGGGCUGGCACUGGGGAACCUUUUGGGCCAUUCUCAACUGAUGCUUCUUUUCUUCCAGGGAAAGGGCCCUCUGGCCCGCACAGCAUGGAUAUGGGCAGAACGGUUUUUCCUAACUAGGCCUUCUGGGUUGCAGCAGAACAGCAUGUGUCUGCUUCUCAAAUGUAACAGGGCAAGAUGUUCAGGUCUUGUGUCCUCUGUGAAGCAGGGCUGCAAGGACCCCUUACCAAGGAGAAGGUGAGGAGAAGUAAUAGUGGAAAUAUCUAUCAGAACAGUAAAGAUAGGCACAGCUCAUUAUUUUGUGCAAAGCAACUUGCAUACAUUAUGUCGUUUGACCUGCACAGAUGAAACAGGCUCAGAGACGGUAUAUAAUUUGUCCAAGAUCACACAGCAGGCUAGGCUUUGAUAUACACAGUAAGCACUGAACUAAUCCUGGG
This 464-nucleotide long non-coding RNA is filed under the name Bos indicus x Bos taurus (hybrid cattle). RNAcentral describes it as "lncRNA (ENSBIXG00005029993.1)". Lineage: Eukaryota; Metazoa; Chordata; Mammalia; Artiodactyla; Bovidae. The record is from RNAcentral.